UAUUGUAAUCCCGUAUCCCGUAUGCAUGUAUACACUAUACACAUGGUGGAAUUAUUGUCGCGGGGGCUUUGGUUUGUGUUUACGCCCUCGAAAAUAAUGUCAUCGAUCGUUUAAACCGCGACAACAUAAUAUUAUUAUUAAACCCAAGGAAUUUAUCCAACGCACGACCGCGGAAAUGAUAACACCUAACCACAUAAUCACACCGAUAAGAGAUAAAUACGGGUAAAACGUUUUGAAUAUUAUCCUGCGUUUUAAGCCCGGCCCUAACGAUGCGUUAGUUACCUAGCGCCUAUCGCGAUUGUUGCGAAAUACGCAACUGUGAUAAAGGCAAGAUUUUUUUCACGGAGAGCCGUGUUUCUGGAUACGGUGUCUCUGUGGCAGUCACUAUC
Cinara cedri is the source of this 389-nucleotide non-coding RNA. NCBI's taxonomy places the organism in Eukaryota, Metazoa, Arthropoda, Insecta, Hemiptera, Aphididae. The record is from the annotation of a GenBank genome assembly.